GUAAUUUUUAAAAAUCGCAAAACAUUAACAUACAGUUUUUUAAGCUGCUUUUUUCCCUUACAAGUAUAAGGAACACUUUCUUGUCUCAUACAAUACCAUUUUUAGUGACACCCUCAGAGUAUUCCAUUGUAUAAAGGAUUAAUAACUUAUCCAACUAGCCAUCUAUAAAUAGAUAUUUGGGCUAUUACGUUUUAGCAGAAAAAAAAUAUGUACAGCACUUCUAUCCAAAUUGCUAGGCAUGCUUUCUAACUUCAUUUUGUUAUUUGUUUUUCAGGUUAUUUUUUAAGAAAAACAUCAAUGAAUAAAUUUUCUUAGUCAGCUAAAGACUGGAUUUGUUGAGUGCCUCAAACUUACAAGAACGCAGAACCAGUGAAGAUUCUUGAGAAGAGCAGUUACUUUCUCCAGCUGUGAAGGUUAUAGCCAUACAGGGGCAAGGAGUCAAGCAGAUUUUAACUACUGAAGGAAGACUAAAGACCCUUUACCAACUAGACUAUGGGAUUCUUAAAGCUGAACGGCCACAGGCCUCUCCCAGACUACCAAAGGAAGA
Molecule: long non-coding RNA, 547 nt
Filed under: Papio anubis (olive baboon)
Lineage: Eukaryota; Metazoa; Chordata; Mammalia; Primates; Cercopithecidae
Description: lncRNA (ENSPANG00000038196.1)
Source: RNAcentral